Molecule: ribosomal RNA, 464 nt
Filed under: uncultured Desulfobulbus sp.
Lineage: Bacteria; Pseudomonadati; Thermodesulfobacteriota; Desulfobulbia; Desulfobulbales; Desulfobulbaceae
Description: bacterial SSU rRNA
Rfam family: Bacterial small subunit ribosomal RNA
Source: RNAcentral
CCGCACAGCGGUGGAGUAUGUGGUUUAAUUCGAUGCAACGCGAAGAACUUACCUGGUCUUGACAUCCCGGAGACCCUUAGGAACUAGGGGUGCUUCCAUCUGGAAGAAAUCUGGAGACAGGUGCUGCAUGGCUGUCGUCAGCUCGUGUCGUGAGAUGUUGGGUUAAGUCCCGCAACGAGCGCAACCCUUGCCUUUAGUUGCCAGCAGUUCGGCUGGGCACUCUAAAGGGACUGCCGGUGUUAAACCGGAGGAAGGUGGGGAUGACGUCAAGUCCUCAUGGCCUUUAUGACCAGGGCUACACACGUACUACAAUGGCCGAUACAAAGGGCAGCGACACUGCGAGGUGAAGCCAAUCCCGUAAAAUCGGUCUCAGUCCGGAUUGGAGUCUGCAACUCGACUCCAUGAAGUUGGAAUCGCUAGUAAUCGUGGAUCAGCAUGCCACGGUGAAUACGUUCCCGGGCCUU